Molecule: long non-coding RNA, 205 nt
Filed under: Vigna radiata
Lineage: Eukaryota; Viridiplantae; Streptophyta; Magnoliopsida; Fabales; Fabaceae
Description: long non-coding RNA (VRAD_LNC010656)
Source: RNAcentral
AGGAAUCGUGUCGCAUGGGCGUGCUUUAAAAGGGAAAUCUAAACCAUAAAAAUAAAGUGGCAGCAAAGAAAAAGAUCUCAUAAUGAUAAGAUUAUGCGAUUUUUGAAGAAUAUAGAAUGAAAAAGAUUGAGAGUACACACACUAAAUAAUGGUGAAACUUUGAAGGAACAGAGAUAUCAUAUUCAUAUGCAUAUUCAGAUUCCUC